RNAcentral lists this ribosomal RNA (401 nucleotides) under uncultured bacterium. RNAcentral describes it as "bacterial SSU rRNA". It matches the Rfam family "Bacterial small subunit ribosomal RNA", at positions 30 to 417 of the family's 1533-position model. The record is from RNAcentral.
AGCGAACGUUAGCGGCGGGCCUAACACAUGCAAGUCGAGCGAGAAAGGGACUUCGGUCCUGAGUACAGCGGCGGACGGGUGAGUAACACGUAGGUAAUCUGCCCUUCAGUCGGGGACAACGGUCCGAAAGGACCGCUAAUACCGGAUUCGUUCCUCGGGACCUCGGUCCUGGGGAGGAAAGCUGCCUCGCAAGAGGUGGCGCUGGAGGAGGAGCCUGCGUCGCAUCAGCUAGUUGGUGGGGUAANGGCCUACCAAGGCUAAGACGCGUAGCUGGUCUGAGAGGAUGAUCAGCCACACUGGGACUGAGACACGGCCCAGACUCCUACGGGAGGCAGCAGUGGGGAAUAUUGGACAAUGGGGGCAACCCUGAUCCAGCCACGCCGCGUGAGUGAUGAAGGCCU